CCUACGGGUGGCAGCAGUGGGGGAUAUUGCACAAUGGGGGAAACCCUGAUGCAGCGACGCCGCGUGAGUGAAGACGUAUUUCGGUGUGUAAAGCUCUAUCAGCAGGGAAGAAAAUGACGGUACCUGAGCAAGAAGCCCCGGCUAACUACGUGCCAGCAGCCGCGGGACUACGUAGGGGGCCAGCGUUAUCCGGAUUUACUGGGUGUAAAGGGAGCUUAGACGGGUUGGUAAGUCUGGAGUGAAAGUCCGGGGCUCAACCCCGGGAGUGCAUUUGAAACUGGGAAACUGGAGUUCAGGAGGGGUAGGCGGAAUUCCUGGUGUAGCGGUGAAAUGCGUAGAUAUCAGGAGGAACACCGGCGGCGAAGGCGGCCUGCUGGACUGCAACUGACGUUGAGGCUCGAAAGCGUGGGGAGCAAACAGGAUUAGAUACCCGGGUAGUC
This 440-nucleotide ribosomal RNA is filed under the name uncultured bacterium. RNAcentral's name for it is "partial 16S ribosomal RNA". It matches the Rfam family "Bacterial small subunit ribosomal RNA", at positions 338 to 795 of the family's 1533-position model. The record is from RNAcentral.